This 73-nucleotide transfer RNA is filed under the name Sphingobacteriaceae bacterium. RNAcentral's name for it is "tRNA-Val". It matches the Rfam family "tRNA". Rfam says of the family: Transfer RNA (tRNA) molecules are approximately 80 nucleotides in length. Their secondary structure includes four short double-helical elements and three loops (D, anti-codon, and T loops). Lineage: Bacteria; Pseudomonadati; Bacteroidota; Sphingobacteriia; Sphingobacteriales; Sphingobacteriaceae. The record is from RNAcentral.
GGGAGUUUGACUCAAUUGGUAGAGUAGUUCGCUUACAACGAGAAGGUUAGUGGUUCGAGUCCGCUAACUCCCA